This 463-nucleotide ribosomal RNA is filed under the name uncultured Actinomyces sp. RNAcentral describes it as "bacterial SSU rRNA". It matches the Rfam family "Bacterial small subunit ribosomal RNA", at positions 338 to 795 of the family's 1533-position model. The record is from RNAcentral. Lineage: Bacteria; Bacillati; Actinomycetota; Actinomycetes; Actinomycetales; Actinomycetaceae.
CCUACGGGUGGCAGCAGUGGGGAAUAUUGCACAAUGGGCGCAAGCCUGAUGCAGCGACGCCGCGUGAGGGAUGGAGGCCUUCGGGUUGUGAACCUCUUUCGCCAGUGAAGAAGGUCCUGCUCUUUGUGGUGGGGUUGACGGUAGCUGGGUUAAUGAAGCGCCGGCUAACUACGUGCCAGCAGCCGCGGUAAUACGUAGGGCGCGAGCGUUGUCCGGAAUUAUUGGGCGUAAAGGGCUUGUAGGCGGCUGGUCGCGUCUGCCGUGAAAUCCUCUGGCUCAGCUGGGGGCGUGCGGUGGGUACGGGCUGGCUUGAGUGCGGUAGGGGAGACUGGAACUCCUGGUGUAGCGGUGGAAUGCGCAGAUAUCAGGAGGAACACCGGUGGCGAAGGCGGGUCUCUGGGCCGUUACUGACGCUGAGGAGCGAAAGCGUGGGGAGCGAACAGGAUUAGAUACCCUUGUAGUC